This 572-nucleotide ribosomal RNA is filed under the name uncultured bacterium. RNAcentral describes it as "bacterial SSU rRNA". It matches the Rfam family "Bacterial small subunit ribosomal RNA", at positions 338 to 916 of the family's 1533-position model. The record is from RNAcentral.
CCUACGGGAGGCAGCAGUGGGGAAUAUUGCACAAUGGGCGAAAGCCUGAUGCAGCAACGCCGCGUGAGGGAUGACGGCCUUCGGGUUGUAAACCUCUUUUAGUAAGGAAGAAGAACUUCGGUUUGACGGUACUUGCAGAAAAAGCACCGGCUAACUACGUGCCAGCAGCCGCGGUAAUACGUAGGGUGCAAGCGUUGUCCGGAAUUAUUGGGCGUAAAGAGCUCGUAGGCGGUUUGUCGCGUCUGCUGUGAAAUCCGGAGGCUCAACCUCCGGCCUGCAGUGGGUACGGGCAGACUAGAGUGCGGUAGGGGAGAUUGGAAUUCCUGGUGUAGCGGUGGAAUGCGCAGAUAUCAGGAGGAACACCGAUGGCGAAGGCAGAUCUCUGGGCCGUAACUGACGCUGAGGAGCGAAAGCAUGGGGAGCGAACAGGAUUAGAUACCCUGGUAGUCCAUGCCGUAAACGUUGGGAACUAGAUGUAGGGGCCAUUCCACGGUUUCUGUGUCGCAGCUAACGCAUUAAGUUCCCCGCCUGGGGAGUACGGCCGCAAGGCUAAAACUCAAAGGAAUUGACGG